RNAcentral lists this ribosomal RNA (353 nucleotides) under uncultured soil bacterium. Its description in RNAcentral is "bacterial SSU rRNA". It matches the Rfam family "Bacterial small subunit ribosomal RNA", at positions 26 to 378 of the family's 1533-position model. The record is from RNAcentral.
AGAUUGAACGCUGGCGGCAGGCCUAACACAUGCAAGUCGAGCGGCAGCACGGGUACUUGUACCUGGUGGCGAGCGGCGGACGGGUGAGUAAUGCCUAGGAAUCUGCCUGGUAGUGGGGGAUAACGCUCGGAAACGGCCGCUAAUACCGCAUACGUCCUACGGGAGAAAGCAGGGGACCUUCGGGCCUUGCGCUAUCAGAUGAGCCUAGGUCGGAUUAGCUAGUUGGUGAGGUAAUGGCUCACCAAGGCGACGAUCCGUAACUGGUCUGAGAGGAUGAUCAGUCACACUGGAACUGAGACACGGUCCAGACUCCGUACGGGAGCAGCAGUGGGGAAUAGUUGGACAAUGGGGCG